GCAAGUCGAACGGUAAGGUCUCUUCGGAGAUACACGAGUGGCGGACGGGUGAGUAACACGUAGGAAUAUGCCCUUUAGUGGGGGACAACCAAGAGAAAUUUUGGCUAAUACCCCAUACGCAGUGAUGUAAAAGAUUUAUCGCUAAAGGAGUAGCCUGCGUUUGAUUAGCUUGUUGGUGAGGUAAAAGCUUACCAAGGCGACGAUCAAUAGCUGGUUUGAGAGGACGAUC
RNAcentral lists this ribosomal RNA (229 nucleotides) under uncultured bacterium. RNAcentral's name for it is "partial 16S ribosomal RNA". It matches the Rfam family "Bacterial small subunit ribosomal RNA", at positions 57 to 305 of the family's 1533-position model. The record is from RNAcentral.